AGAGACGUGCAUAUAUUUUAGUAUACAUGGAAACUGACUUCAAGUAGGAGCCAUCUAUCUGGUGACACAAAAUAAUAACGGCUCAGAUAUUGUAUAGGUUUAAAACGUACAGAUGACAAACUCUAACCUACAAACUCUAGCCUUAACUACGCUUCUUUACAAAUAAGAAUUCUAUAUCGACUCAAUUCGUGCACAUCCAGGCAAGACAUCGCCCCUGAUCUCAUCCUUCAUCACAUACAUGCAAUAAUUAGUCCUCUCGCCAGCAAUAAGAAGCAGACAGGUUGUGUGGCAGUACUUGCAGGUAAUGUUCAUUAUCUCCUUCCACAAAUAAUACAUGCAUGUCUCCUUGCAAUGAUUAAUAUAUGCAUUAACUCUCCGAUCUCAUUACACAUGCUUUGUAUUAACUUGAAUUACAGAGAGAAAGCGCCGAUAAACUUGGGAUUCAGAUCACUAAUUACAGAGCGUGCACAUCACGGCAAGACAUUGCCGUCCUCUCGCAAGCAGCAAGGAGCAGACAGGUUGUGUGGCAGUACUUGCAGCCAAUGUUCAUUAUCUCCUUCCACAAAUAAUAUAUGCAUGUCUCCUGCAAUGAUUAAUAUAUACAUCAACUCUCCGUUCUCAUUACACAUGCUUUGUAUUAACUUGAAUUACACAGAGAAAGUGGCGAUAAACUUGAGAUUCAGAUCACCAAUUACAGAGCAUAUAUGUCCUCUCAUUGGAAGGUGACAACACAAGUAUCCUUCUUUCACAAUAGAAUAAUGAUUUUAGACGAUUUAAAAGCCUUUGUUGGAAAACAAUCCAUACGAAAAAGAAUCUUAUCAGGAAACUAUCUGUUCCAUACAAAUACCUUCAGCAUCCUUGCAAACAAUGUGGUCCCUGACAUGUUUACAUUAAAUUUAUCAUCAGCAAUUCUGAAUUUCUGAACAAAUAAAAUCAGUUACGUAUAAGAUGCCCUCACUUAUAUCUCAGAAUAAAAUCAGUUACACUUUUUACCUCAUUUAUUUCAGGAUUCACUAGCCGCAGUCAACAUGCGUCGAACACGCACUAGAGCAAAUCAAAACAACGAAAGGUAUUCAUUACCACAGUACCAAAAAUAAUUAUAUAAAUAUUAAUUUACCUGGAUUAUUAAAAUGAUAACAAAAUAAAAUGUAGGAAUAUGUGGCGUCAUCAAGGAAUCCAAAUACCUGAGCAAGCAGCCUCUAAACUAGCAACACUCGAAUCUAAUGAUAGUCAAUCAGACAUCAUUAGAGCAGCAGCAAAGGAAGCUAGGCGGAAAACGAAAGAAUCCUCCAGCUGAAAA
This 1300-nucleotide long non-coding RNA is filed under the name Triticum aestivum (bread wheat). RNAcentral's name for it is "long non-coding RNA (TAES_LNC019185)". The record is from RNAcentral. Lineage: Eukaryota; Viridiplantae; Streptophyta; Magnoliopsida; Poales; Poaceae.